UAAUACGUAGGGCGCAAGCGUUGUCCGGAAUUAUUGGGCGUAAAGAGCUCGUAGGUGGCUUGUUGCGUCUGCCGUGAAAGCCCGUGGCUUAACUGCGGGUCUGCGGUGGAUACGGGCAGGCUAGAGGCUGGUAGGGGCAAGCGGAAUUCCUGGUGUAGCGGUGAAAUGCGCAGAUAUCAGGAGGAACACCGGUGGCGAAGGCGGCUUGCUGGGCCAGUUCUGACGCUGAGGAGCGAAAGCGUGGGGAGCGAACAGGAUUAGAUACCCUGGUAGUCCACGCUGUAAACGUUGGGCGCUAGGUGUGGGGGUCUUCCAUGGUCUCUGUGCCGUAGCUAACGCAUUAAGCGCCCCGCCUGGGGAGUACGGCCGCAAGGCUA
This 377-nucleotide ribosomal RNA is filed under the name uncultured bacterium. RNAcentral's name for it is "bacterial SSU rRNA". It matches the Rfam family "Bacterial small subunit ribosomal RNA", at positions 521 to 896 of the family's 1533-position model. The record is from RNAcentral.